AUUGAACGCUGGCGGCGUGCUUUACACAUGCAAGUCGAACGGCAGCAUAGGUAGCAAUACCUGAUGGCGAGUGGCGAACGGGUGAGUAAUACAUCGAAACGAACCUAUUAGUUGGGGAUAACUCAUCGAAAGAUGAGCUAAUACCGAAUAAGCUACGAGGAGGAGAGUUGGGGACCAGGAAUGGCCUGACGCUGAUAGGUUGGUCGAUGGUCGAUUAGCUAGUUGGUGGGGUAAGGGCUUACCAAGGCGAUGAUCGAUAGCUGUUCUGAGAGGAAGAUCAGCCACACUGGAACUGAGACACGGUCCAGACUCCUACGGGAGGCAGCAGUGGGGAAUAUUGGACAAUGGGGGCAACCCUGAUCCAGCAACGCCGCGUGAAUGAAGAAGGUCUUAGGAUUGUAAAGUUCUUUUACCUGGGAGCAAAGGUAUCAAGUUAAAAGCUAGAUAUUAUGAGAGUACCAGGAGAAUAAGCACCGGCUAACUACGUGCCAGCCGCCGCGGUAA
RNAcentral lists this ribosomal RNA (504 nucleotides) under uncultured bacterium. RNAcentral describes it as "partial 16S ribosomal RNA". It matches the Rfam family "Bacterial small subunit ribosomal RNA", at positions 30 to 523 of the family's 1533-position model. The record is from RNAcentral.